This 744-nucleotide ribosomal RNA is filed under the name uncultured bacterium. RNAcentral's name for it is "bacterial SSU rRNA". It matches the Rfam family "Bacterial small subunit ribosomal RNA", at positions 8 to 796 of the family's 1533-position model. The record is from RNAcentral.
AGAGUUUGAUCCUGGCUCAGGGCGAACGCUGGCGGCAGGCUUAACACAUGCAAGUCGAGCGGGCGUAGCAAUACGUCAGCGGCAGACGGGUGAGUAACGCGUGGGAACGUACCUUUUGGUUCGGAACAACACAGGGAAACUUGUGCUAAUACCGGAUAAGCCCUUACGGGGAAAGAUUUAUCGCCGAAAGAUCGGCCCGCGUCUGAUUAGCUAGUUGGUGUGGUAACGGCGCACCAAGGCGACGAUCAGUAGCUGGUCUGAGAGGAUGAUCAGCCACAUUGGGACUGAGACACGGCCCAAACUCCUACGGGAGGCAGCAGUGGGGAAUAUUGGACAAUGGGCGCAAGCCUGAUCCAGCCAUGCCGCGUGAGUGAUGAAGGCCCUAGGGUUGUAAAGCUCUUUUGUGCGGGAAGAUAAUGACGGUACCGCAAGAAUAAGCCCCGGCUAACUUCGUGCCAGCAGCCGCGGUAAUACGAAGGGGGCUAGCGUUGCUCGGAAUCACUGGGCGUAAAGGGUGCGUAGGCGGGUCUUUAAGUCAGGGGUGAAAUCCUGGAGCUCAACUCCAGAACUGCCUUUGAUACUGAGGAUCUUGAGUUCGGGAGAGGCGAGUGGAACUGCGAGUGUAGAGGUGAAAUUCGUAGAUAUUCGCAAGAACACCAGUGGCGAAGGCGGCUCACUGGCCCGAUACUGACGCUGAGGCACGAAAGCGUGGGGAGCAAACAGGAUUAGAUACCCCAGUAGUCC